RNAcentral lists this ribosomal RNA (779 nucleotides) under Hanah hanataba. RNAcentral describes it as "partial 28S ribosomal RNA". It matches the Rfam family "Eukaryotic large subunit ribosomal RNA", at positions 383 to 974 of the family's 3401-position model. Lineage: Eukaryota; Metazoa; Cnidaria; Anthozoa; Malacalcyonacea; Arulidae. The record is from RNAcentral.
GAGAGUUAAAAAGUACGUGAAACCGUUGAAAGGGAAGCGAAUGGAGUUAGCAAUUCGCCGGUCAGAUUCAGCCGCUCGUGUGCCGCGACGUGCGCGCUCUCGAUCCGCACGGACGAGACGUGCGCGGGUGCGGCGUUCGGACGGCGCACUUCUGGCCGGCGAGCGUCAGCGUCGGUUGUCGCCGGGCGAAAAGGUCGCGGGGAAGGUAGACGGGACGUUCGCGGCCCGUUGUUAAGCCCUGCGCUCGUACGGCUCGACGGCGACCGAGGUCAUCUUCUCGUGGCGACGCGUGCUCACGCUGGCGACCUGUUCGAUCGGUCCGACACGUCGACCGUGGCGGACGGCACGCCUGUGCGCUCAAACUGCUGCCGGUCGAUCGAGCGGUGUUCGUACACUACGCGUCCAAGAUGCUGACGACCAUACGGCUCUAUCCGACCCGUCUUGAAACACGGACCAAGGAGUCUAACAUGUGCGCGAGUCUCCGGGUGAUCGAAACCCGUGGGCACAAUGAAAGUAAAGGCCGUCUCGGACGGCUGAGGUGAGAAGCCUUUAUCGGCCGCAUCAUCGACCGACMUAUUCUGCUCUCAGAAAGGUUUGAGUAAGAGCGUAUCUGUUGGGACCCGAAAGAUGGUGAAMUAUGCCUGAAUAGGGUGAAGCCAGCGGAAACACUGGUGGAAGCUCGUAGCGAUUCUGACGUGCAAAUCGAUCGUCGAAUUUGGGUAUAGCGGCGAAAGACUAAUCGAACCAUCUAGUAGCUGGUUCCCUCCGAAGUUUCCCUC